This 125-nucleotide ribosomal RNA is filed under the name Enterococcus faecium. RNAcentral's name for it is "partial 23S ribosomal RNA". It matches the Rfam family "Bacterial large subunit ribosomal RNA", at positions 1 to 124 of the family's 2925-position model. Lineage: Bacteria; Bacillati; Bacillota; Bacilli; Lactobacillales; Enterococcaceae. The record is from RNAcentral.
AGAUUAAGUUAUUAAGGGCGCACGGUGGAUGCCUUGGCACUAGAAGCCGAUGAAGGACGUUACUAACGACGAUAUGCUUUGGGUAGCUGUAAGUAAGCGUUGAUCCAGAGAUUUCCGAAUGGGGG